Molecule: small nuclear RNA, 19 nt
Filed under: Arabidopsis thaliana (thale cress)
Lineage: Eukaryota; Viridiplantae; Streptophyta; Magnoliopsida; Brassicales; Brassicaceae
Description: snRNA_00020
Source: RNAcentral
GGAAGAGUUAUCUUUUCUG